RNAcentral lists this ribosomal RNA (254 nucleotides) under uncultured bacterium. RNAcentral describes it as "partial 16S ribosomal RNA". It matches the Rfam family "Bacterial small subunit ribosomal RNA", at positions 524 to 776 of the family's 1533-position model. The record is from RNAcentral.
UACGAAGGGGGCUAGCGUUGCUCGGAAUCACUGGGCGUAAAGGGUGCGUAGGCGGGUCUUUUAAGUCAGGGGUGAAAUCCUGGAGCUCAACUCCAGAACUGCCUUUGAUACUGGGAUUCUUGAGUUCGGGAGAGGUGAGCGGAACUGCGAGUGUAGAGGUGAAAUUCGUAGAUAUUCGCAAGAACACCAGUGGCGAAGGCGGCUCACUGGCCCGGUACUGACGCUGAGACGCGAAAGCGUGGGGAGCAAACAGG